RNAcentral lists this transfer RNA (89 nucleotides) under Vibrio phage 70E38.1. RNAcentral's name for it is "tRNA-Leu". It matches the Rfam family "tRNA". From Rfam's summary of the family: Transfer RNA (tRNA) molecules are approximately 80 nucleotides in length. Their secondary structure includes four short double-helical elements and three loops (D, anti-codon, and T loops). Further hydrogen bonds mediate the characteristic L-shaped molecular structure. tRNAs have two regions of fundamental functional importance: the anti-codon, which is responsible for specific mRNA codon recognition, and the 3' end, to which the tRNAs corresponding amino acid is attached (by aminoacyl-tRNA synthetases). tRNAs cope with the degeneracy of the genetic code in two manners: having more than one tRNA (with a specific anti-codon) for a particular amino acid; and 'wobble' base-pairing, i.e. permitting non-standard base-pairing at the 3rd anti-codon position. RNAcentral also lists the same sequence under 285 other names. The record is from RNAcentral. Lineage: Duplodnaviria; Heunggongvirae; Uroviricota; Caudoviricetes; Demerecviridae.
GGCGGAGUGGUGGAAUAUUUGGUUAUACACACUGAGCUUAAAACUCAGCGCCUUCGGGAUUGGGAGUUCGAGUCUCCCCUCCGCUACCA